CCUACGGGUGGCAGCAGUGGGGGAUAUUGGACAAUGGGCGGAACACUGAUCCAGCGACGCCGCGUGAGUGAAGAAGUAUUUCGGUAUGUAAAGCUCUGUCAGCAGGGAAGAAAGCAAUGACGGUACCUGACCAAGAAGCCCCGGCUAACUACAUGCCAGCAGCCGCGGGAAUACGUAGGGGGCAAGCGUUAUCCGGAAUUACUGGUUUUAAGGGGAGCGUAGACGGCUGGGUAAGUCUGGCGUGAAAGGCGGGGGCCCAACCCCCGGAAUGGUCUGGGAACUGGAUGGCUGGAGUGCAGGGGAGGUAAGCGGAAUUCCUGGUGUAGCGGUGAAAUGCGUAGAUAUUACGAAGAACACCGGUUGCGAAGGCAGCUUACUGGACUGUAACUGACGUUGAGGCUCGAAAGCGUGGGGAGCAAACAGGAUUAGAUACCCCGGUAGUC
RNAcentral lists this ribosomal RNA (443 nucleotides) under uncultured bacterium. RNAcentral's name for it is "partial 16S ribosomal RNA". It matches the Rfam family "Bacterial small subunit ribosomal RNA", at positions 338 to 795 of the family's 1533-position model. The record is from RNAcentral.